This 78-nucleotide small nuclear RNA is filed under the name Homo sapiens (human). Its description in RNAcentral is "partial ncRNA". The record is from RNAcentral. Lineage: Eukaryota; Metazoa; Chordata; Mammalia; Primates; Hominidae.
AGAGAAUCUCUUGAACCUGGGAGGCAGAGGUUGCAGUGAGCCAAGAUAUGUCACUGCACUCCAGCCUGGGUGACAGAG